Triticum urartu is the source of this 139-nucleotide non-coding RNA. The record is from Rfam. Lineage: Eukaryota; Viridiplantae; Streptophyta; Magnoliopsida; Poales; Poaceae.
UUGUCACCUGGAGUUCUCCUCAAAUCACUUCAGUUGCUAGCUUAUGCCUAAUUGUUGCAUUGGCACUGUUUUAAAGUGUGCAUUGCAGGGAUAAGCGAGGCAUGCAUAGUGAAGUGUUUGGGGGAACUCUAGGUGGCAA